CAAUCAGAAGUUUCGGCGAUAUGACGUCAUGCGAAUUUUUGUCGCGCGGUAUUUCCCGCAGUUGUUAACCUCCAAUAUUUACAUCAACAAGCAUUGAAUUUGAACCAGAAUUUAGUAUUUGAAAUGACAACCGAGACUACGAAGAUAGCGUUUUUCGGUGACAGUUAUGUAGUUCGUUUGGAACGGUGGGGUGUGAUUCCAGAUGUGCCUGGUCGUUUCCGGUUUUUCGGGCAGGGGGGGAUGAGGGCCCAGCGGCCUCAUCAACAAUUGCUCGAAAGGAUGUUAAGAUGGGAACCAGAUGUAGUUAUCGUCGUCCUUGGGGGAAACGAUAUCACUUCAAGGUGCCAGCCACGUGAUAUAAGUCUGGACAUCCUUAAGUUGUGUCGGCUGGUGAAGGCCCGAGGUGUUGCCACCGUGGUGGUGGCCGGCAUUUGCCAGAGGUGGGCAUUUCGCGAUAACGCCCUUACAUCGGACCGCUUCACGGCCAUAGGCAGCGCUAUCGAUCGUUAUGUCAAGAGAUAUUUUGCGGUAUCAUCCAUGGUUCACGUGCGGGAGGAUGUCCACUGGCUUUCAGACGGCGUACAUCUAAGUGAGGAAGGAAUGGCAGAAUUUAUGGAGAGUCUAAGGCUGAAGUUGGCCAAGAUUUUUAAACCUAAGGACUUAGUAUUGUAAACAAGGACUGUUUGUAAAACAUGCAUGCCCCCCAUAUGGGCUCUCCGUUGUAGUGACAGCCAUUGUGUGAAUAUGUUUUUUGUCACUGUGACCUUGACCUUUGACCUAGUGACCUGAAAAUCAAUAGGGGUCAUCUGCCAGUCAUGAUCACUGUACGUAUGAAGUUUCAUGAUCCUAGCCAUAAGCGUUCUUGAGUUAUCAUCAGGAAACCAUCUUACUAUUUCAGGUCACCAUGACCUUGACCUUUGAUAUAGUGACCUGAAAAUCAAUAGGGGUCAACUGCGAGUCAUGAUCAAUCUACCUAUCAAGUUUCAUGAUCCUAGGCAUAAGCAUUCUUGAGUUAUCAUCUGGAAACCUUUUUACUAUUUCGGGUCAUCAUUACCUUGACCUUUGGCCUUGUGACCUGAAAAUCAAUAGGUGUCAUCUGCGAGUCAUGAUUAAUCUACCUAUAAAGUUUCAUGAUCCUAGGCCUAAGCGUUCUUGAGUUAACAUCCGGAAACCAUUUUAGUAUUUUGGGUCAUCAUGACCUUGACCUUUAACCUAGUGACCUGAAAAUCAAAAGGGGUCAUCUGCGAGUCAUGAUCAAUGUACCUAUGAAGUUUCAUGAUCUUAGGCAUAAGCGUUCUUGAGUUAUCAUCCGGAAACCAUUUUACUAUUUCAGGACACCGUGACCUUGACCUUUGAUAUAGUGACCUGAAAAUCAAAAGGGGUCAACUGCGAGUCAUGAUCAAUCUACCUAUCAAGUUUCAUGAUCCUAGGCAUAAGCGUUCUUGUGUUAUCAUCGGGAAACCAUUUUACUAUUUCGGGUCACCGUGACCUUGACCUAGUGACCUGCAAAUCAAUAGGGGUAAUCUGCGAGUCAUGGUCCAUGUACCUAUGAAGUUUCAUGAUCCUAGGCCUAAGCGUUCUUGAGUUAACAUUCGGAAACCAUUUUACUAUUUCGGGUCACUGUGACCUUGACCUUUGACCUAGUGACCUGAAAAUCAAUAGGGGUCAUCUGCCAGCCAUAAUCAAUUUACCUACAAAGUUUCAUGAUCCUAGGCAUAAGCGUUCUUGAGUUAUCAUCCGGAAACUAUUUUACUAUUUGGGGACACUGUGACCUUGACCUUUGACCUAGUGACCCGAACCAAUCGACAGACAGACCGACAUGUGCAAAGCAUAAAAAGGGGGGCAUAAAAAGAAUGCAUGUGUGUGCCUCCGAACACAAGUGACACUCGGAUUUUUUUUAAGUGCUGUGCCUCCGAACACAUGUGACACUCGGAAUUUUUUUUAAGUGCUGUGCCUCUGAACACAAGUGACACUCGGAUUUUUUGUAGUGCUGUGCCUCCGAACACAAGUGACACUCGGAUUUUUUGUAGUGCUGUGCCUCCUAACACAAGUGACACUCGAAUUUUUUGUAGUGCUGUGCCUCCGAACACACGUGACACUCGGAUUUUUUGUAGUGCUGUGCCUCCGAACACAAGUGACACUCUGAUUUUUUGUAGUGCUGUGCCUCCUAACACAAGUGACACUCGGAUUUUUUGUAGUGCUGUGCCUUUGAACACACGUGACACUAGGAUUUUUUUUUUAAGUGCUGUGCCUCCGAACACACGUGACACUCGGAUUUUUUUUAAGUGCUGUGCCUCCGAACACAAGUGACACUCGGAUUUUUAAACUACAAAUGGGAGGAAAAGCCCGAUAAGGCGAUAUAAGCCGAACCUAGCAACAAUGAAUCUAGUGGUGCCCGUUGCAGAGCCCUGAAUCCAUUUUAGGGAAAGAGGCUCGCUACCCUCAUGAGGGGAAUUUUUUGCAGCGUUUCGCUUUUGGGGGGGGGAUUUUUUUACUUACUCUCAUUAUUACAUUUUAGGGGGAAUUUUUCCCCCAAAAGGGGAAAAAAACGUAUACUUUUCAGUUGGGGGAAUGCGGCUGAAAUUCGGCCACAGAUUUGAAAGAUUGAGGGCCCUGCGUUGAUACCCCUGCCACUGAGCAGCUAAUACGAGUUAUAACUAGAAUUGAAUGCGUCGAUUCGAUUACGAUACCAACCCUACUUAAUUCAAUUUAAUUCUUUAAUAUAUAGACAUAGAUACGUAGAGUGCGCUGUACUCUGACUAUUUGAUACGGGAAGGUAAAUGUUUUAUCUUAACCUAAAAUAACGACGCGCGAUAUUGGUUACUUAUUACUUUAGUCAUUCAAUCAAUAAGCGCAUUACGGUCUACUUUCCGACAAAGAGUCAAAAUGGCUGAAAAAGUUGUGGCUGACAAAUUGAAACAAGGGCUGUUUGUAAAACAUGCAUGCCCCCCAUAUGGGCUCUCCAUUGUAGUGACAGCCAUUGUGUGAAUAUGUUUUUUGUCACUGUGACCUUGACCUUUGACCUACUGACCUGAAAAUCAAAAGGGGGUCAUCUGCCAGUCAUGAUCAAUGUACCUAUGAAGUUUUAUGAUCCUAGCCAUAAGCGUUCUUGAGUUAUCAUCUGGAAACCAUUUUACUAUUUCGGGUCACCCUGACCUUGACCUUUGACCUAGAGACCUGAAAAUCAAUAGGGGUCAUCUGCAAGUCAUUAUAAAUCUACCUAUUAAGUUUCAUGAUCCUAGGCAUAAGCGUUCUUCAUUUAUCAUACAGAAACCAUUUUACUAUUCAGUGUCACCAUGAACUUGACCUUUGACCUCAAAAUCGAUAGGGGUCAUCUGCGAGUCAUGAUCAAUGUACCUAUGAAGUUUCAUGAUCCUAGGCAAAAGCGUUCUUGAGUUAUCAUCCGGAAACCAUUUUACUAUUUCGGGUCACCUUGACCUUUGACCUAGUGACCUCAAAAUCAAUUGGGUCAUCUGCAAGUCAUGAUCAAUGCACCUAUGAAGUUUCAUGAUCGUAGCCAUUAGCAUUCUUGAGUUAUCAUCCGGAAACCAUUUUACUAUUCCAGGUCACCGUGACCUUGACCUUUAAUAAAGUGAUCUGAAAAUCAGUAGGGGUCAACUGCGAGUCAUGAUCAAUCUACCUAUCAAGUUUCAUGAUCCUAGGCAUAAGCGUUCUUGAGUUAUCAUACGAAACCAUUUUACUUUUUUGGGUCACCUUGACCUAGUGACCUGAAAAUCAAAAGGGGUCAUCUGCGAGUCAUUAUCAAUGUACCUAUGAAGUUUCAUGAUUCUAGGCAUAAGCAUUCUUGAACUAUCAUCCGGAAACCAUUUUACUAUUUAGGGUCACCGUGACCUUGACCUUUGACCUAGUGACCUGAAAAUCAAUAGGGGUCAUCUGCCAGCCAGUAUCAAUCUACCAACGAAGUUUCAUGUUCUUAGACAUAAGCGUUCUUGAGUUAUCAUCCGGAAACCAUUUUACUAUUUCGGGUCACUGUGACCUUGACCUUUGACCUAGUGACCUGAAAAUCAAUAGGGGUCAUCUGCGAGUCAUGAUUAAUCUACCUAUCAAGUUUCAUAAUCCUAGGCCUAAGCAUUCUCGAGUUAUCAUCCGGAAACCAUUUUACUAUUUCGGGUCACCGUGACCUUGACCUAGUGACCUGAAAAUUAAUAGGGGUCAUCUGCCAGCCAUUAUCAAUCUACCUAAGAAGUUUCAUGAUCUUAGACAUGAGCGUUGUUGAGUUAUCAACCGGAAACCAUUUUACUAUUUCGGGUCACCGUGACCUUGACCUAGUGACCUGAAAAUUAAUAGGGGUCAUCUGCCAGCCAUUAUCAAUCUACCUAAGAAGUUUCAUGAUCUUAGACAUGAGCGUUGUUGAGUUAUCAACCGGAAACCAUUUUACUAUUUCGGGUCACUGAAACCUUGACCUUUGACCCAGUGACCCGAAAAUCAAGAGGGGUCAUCUGCGAGUCAUGAUCAAUGUACCUAUCAAGUUUCAUGAUCCUAUGCCUAAGCGUUCUCAAGUUAUCAUCCGGAAACCAUUUUACUAUUUCGGGUCACUGUGACCUUGACCUUUGACCUAGUGACAUGAAAAUCAAUAGGGGUCAUCUGCGAGUCAUGAUCAAUUUACCUAUGAAGUUUCAUGAUCAUAGGCCUAAGCGUUCUUGAGUUAUCAUCCGGAAACCAUUUUACUAUUUCGGGUCACCUUGACCUUUGACCUAGUGACCUGAAAAUCAAUGGGGGUCAUCUGCGAGUCAUGAUCAAAUUACCUAUGAAGUUUCAUGAUCCUAGGACCAAGCGUUCUUGAAUAUCGUCCGGAAAACACCUGGUGGACGGACCGACAGACCGACAUGUGCAAAGCAAUAUACCCCUCUUCUUCGAAGGGGGGCAUAAUUAUCAGAUGGCGUUAUGAAACUAAAAUCAAAAGUGUGGCAGUAUUUAGUGACUUGGGAUGGUAGCCCUCCCGAUAAAAUAACGUAUAAACUGUGCUUAACGGACCUGAUUUACUCUUUUUUUUAGCUUAUCUGUCACAAAGUCACAUGGUGAGCUUAUGUGAUUGUGUGUUGUCCGGCGUCCGUGUGUGCGUCUCAACAAUUUGUGUAAACAGUAGAGGUCACAGUUUCAAUCCAAUCUUUAUAAAAUUUGGUCAAAAUGUUUAUCUUGAUGAAAUCUGGGUUGGGAUUGUUUUUGGGUCGUCUGGUCAAAAACAAGGUCACUACAUCAAAAACUAAGUAACUAGGUCAAAUAAUAGAAAAACCUUGUAUAUACAAUAGAGGUCACAGUUUUCAUCAAAUAUGUAUGAAAUCAAGUCAGAAUGUUAUCUUGAUGAAAUCUGGGUUGGAAUUGUAUUUGGGUCAUUUGGGGUCAAAAACUAGGUCACAAGGUCAAAUGAUAGAAAAACUUUGUGUAGACAAUACAGGUCAUAGUUUUCAUCCAAUCUUUAUGAAAUUUAACCGGAAUGUUUAUCUUGAUGAAAUCUGGAUUGGUGUUUUAUAUAGUUCAAAUAGGGUUAAAAACUAGGUCACUAGGUCAAAUCAACAACGACCGUAAAGACACCCCCGAACUUAAAGUUUCGGUUCGAGGGUGGGGAGGUGGCGAUGUGUCACUCCUUAA
Dreissena polymorpha is the source of this 5610-nucleotide long non-coding RNA. RefSeq lists it as uncharacterized. The transcript has 2 exons. NCBI's taxonomy places the organism in Eukaryota, Metazoa, Mollusca, Bivalvia, Myida, Dreissenidae. The record is from RefSeq and is a predicted model, not a curated record.